Long non-coding RNA from Nicotiana attenuata, 276 nucleotides. RefSeq lists it as uncharacterized. The record is from RefSeq and is a predicted model, not a curated record. The transcript is spliced from 3 exons. Lineage: Eukaryota; Viridiplantae; Streptophyta; Magnoliopsida; Solanales; Solanaceae.
UCCUUCACAGACAACUGAAGAAAGAUCGGGGUGCUACUUUUGAAUCUUGGAGGACCAGACACGCUUCACGAUGUUCAGCCUUUCUUGUUCAACUUAUUUGCUGACCCUGAUAUUAUACGUCUCCCUAGAUUAUUCCGAAUUCUCCAGCGCCCAUUAGCUCAACUCAUUUCUGUUCUCCGAGCCCCGAAGAGUAAGGAUGGGUACGCUGCAAUUGGAGGCGGUUCCCCUUUACGAAAGAUAACAGAUGAGCAGGCUAGCGCGCUAAAAAUGGCACUA